This 253-nucleotide ribosomal RNA is filed under the name uncultured bacterium. RNAcentral describes it as "partial 16S ribosomal RNA". It matches the Rfam family "Bacterial small subunit ribosomal RNA", at positions 524 to 776 of the family's 1533-position model. The record is from RNAcentral.
UACGGGGGGGGCAAGCGUUGUUCGGAAUUACUGGGCGUAAAGGGCUCGUAGGCGGCCAACUAAGUCAGACGUGAAAUCCCUCGGCUUAACCGGGGAACUGCGUCUGAUACUGGAUGGCUUGAAUCCGGGAGAGGGAUGCGGAAUUCCAGGUGUAGCGGUGAAAUGCGCAGAUAUCAGGAGGAACACCGGUGGCGAAGGCGGAUCUCUGGGCCAUUACUGACGCUGAGGAGCGAAAGCGUGGGGAGCGAACAGG